Molecule: non-coding RNA, 96 nt
Organism: Capsicum annuum
Lineage: Eukaryota; Viridiplantae; Streptophyta; Magnoliopsida; Solanales; Solanaceae
Source: Rfam
CACUGGACGCAGCGGUUCAUCGAUCUAUUCCCUUAACACUGAUAUAUAUGCGAAAAACAGCAAAAGGGAAUCGGUCGAUAAACCUCUGCAUCCAGU